Non-coding RNA from Doryrhamphus excisus (bluestripe pipefish), 1081 nucleotides. The record is from RefSeq and is a predicted model, not a curated record. NCBI's taxonomy places the organism in Eukaryota, Metazoa, Chordata, Actinopteri, Syngnathiformes, Syngnathidae.
AGUACACCACGAUAUGUAGUAUAGUCAUGUAGAGUGACCUUUGAUGCCUAUGUGCUGUAUGUUAGUUGUUUAUAUGAGAAAAGAAAGUCUGUGUAUAUACAUGUGUAUGUUUGCUAAUGCUAACAGGCCUAGCGGUGAGAACUGAAGCCUGGCCGCCUUUAGCACCCAUUUUAGGUGCAAGUGAAGUAGAUAGACAAAACAAUGAGUGAAGGAACAAAAUGGAUGUAUAUUUCAAUUUAUAUUUUUCUUAUAUAUAUAUAUAUAUAUUAUCUUAAUAUGGCUACUUCUUGUCAGUUAGCAGAGCAUGCUUGAAUGGCUUGAUGGUUGUAGUUGCGUAGCAUAAAAAAUGAAUAAACUGUUGUGUUGGAGAGACGACCAACUGUUCCCACUCUUUCAUGUGUUUCAGGUCGAGAACAUUUGGCAGUGAGCAGUAAAAUUAUAGCUGUGUAUUUCCCUAAGUCUUGUUUAGGGAGGUGACAUACACACGCCAGUCUCAAGCCACGACACUUCCAAGAGCAUGAUGUCUACUUGCAAAAAUGUGUGCAAAAUUUGGGGAUCCGUACAUGGUCCAUGGCUAUUUAUUGGGUCCAUCGCAUACCGUCAUCAGUAAUCACCUAGGAUGAAUCAAGCCCGAAAGUCUGGCGGUGGACAUGUUUGUCAUCAACGCAAAGGUCACCAAAGUCAUGCAGCAGCCCGACACAAAUGUACGAAGACACGUGCACACACAGCACACACAAGAGGAGGUGUCUGUUUGAAGAAUGUGCCACGGUUGGGAGGAUGAAUUUGCAUGAUGAACUUGUCAUUUAUUUAUUUAUUUUUUCCAUCAGGCCGCACCCCGCUAUCACCAUUUCUCAAAUGAUUUUCCAUUGUAUGCAGGGCAGCCGCAGAUUCACUUCCUGUUUAGGCAAUGUCUUAGAUCAGUGGUUCCCAAACUUUUUACAGCCGGGUACCUUUUCAGACAUUUGAUGUGAAGCCACGUACUUAAGAAAAUAAACAUUAAUUCAUUCAUUUUCUACCGCUUUUCCGCACGAGGGGUGCUGGAGCCUAUCCUAGCUGUUUUCGGGCGAGAGGCGGGGUACAG